This 253-nucleotide ribosomal RNA is filed under the name uncultured bacterium. RNAcentral's name for it is "partial 16S ribosomal RNA". It matches the Rfam family "Bacterial small subunit ribosomal RNA", at positions 524 to 776 of the family's 1533-position model. RNAcentral also lists the same sequence under 1 other name. The record is from RNAcentral.
UACGUAGGAUGCAAGCGUUGUCCGGAUUUACUGGGCGUAAAGCGCGCGCAGGCGGCACUACAAGUAAGGUGUGAAAUCUCCCUGCUCAACGGGGAGGGUGCACUUUAGACUGUAGAGCUAGAGGUCGGUAGAGGGGGGUGGAAUUGCUGGUGUAGCGGUGAAAUGCGUAGAGAUCAGCAGGAACACCCGUGGCGAAGGCGGCCCCCUGGGCCGUACCUGACGCUGAGGCGCGAAGGCUAGGGGAGCGAACGGG